AGCGAACGCUGGCGGCAGGCUUAACACAUGCAAGUCGAGCGGGCAUCCUGGUGGUGUCAGCUGCUGACGGGUGAGUAACGCGUGGGAACGUGCCCUUCGGUUCGGAAUAACUCAUGGAAACUGGAGCUAAUACCGGAUACGCGCUAGUGCAGAAAACGUUAUCUGCCGAAGGGUCGGCCCGCGUCUGAUUAGCUAGGUGGGGAUGUUACGGCGCAUCAAUGCUACGAUAAGUAGCUGGUAUGAGAGCAUGAUGAGACACACUGGGACUGAGAAACGGCCGAGAAUCCUACGGGAGGGACGCGAGCGGAAUCUUGCCAUAUGGGGGCAAUCAUGAUCCAGCCAUGCCGCGUAAGUGAUGACGGCAUUAGAGAAGUAAAGCUCUUUUCUACGGGACGGUAAUGACGGUACCGGAGGAAUAAGCCCCGGCUAACUUCGUG
This 437-nucleotide ribosomal RNA is filed under the name uncultured bacterium. Its description in RNAcentral is "partial 16S ribosomal RNA". It matches the Rfam family "Bacterial small subunit ribosomal RNA", at positions 29 to 507 of the family's 1533-position model. The record is from RNAcentral.